This 1007-nucleotide ribosomal RNA is filed under the name uncultured eukaryote. Its description in RNAcentral is "SSU rRNA". It matches the Rfam family "Eukaryotic small subunit ribosomal RNA", at positions 384 to 1473 of the family's 1831-position model. The record is from RNAcentral.
UGGAGAGGGGGCCUGAGAAACGGCUACCAUUUCUACGGAAGGCAGCAGGCGCGUAAAUUGCCCAAUCCUAACUCAGGGAGGCAAUUAAUAGACAUAACAAUUCCGGCCUUUUGGCUUUGGAAAGGUAAUGAGCUAAGUUUAAGUAUCUUGGCGAAAUCUAUUGGAGGGCAAGUCUGGUGCCAGCAGCCGCGGUAAUUCCAGCUCCAAUAGCGUAUGUUAAUUUUGCUGCAAUUAAAAAGCUCGUAGUUGAACUUCCGGUACACGCAAGUGUGCCUGUCUGACGCGACUAUCGAUACAGAAAUGUUUUGGUAACUCGCACAGACGUUUACUGUGAAUAAAUUAGAGUGCUUAAGACAAGCGUUUGCUUGAAUAUUUUAGCAUGGAAUAAUAAAAUACGACUUUCUUUAUUUUAUUGGUUAUUUAAGAAAGUAAUGAUUAACAGGAACAGUUGGGGGCAUUCGUACUUAAUAGUCAGAGGUGAAAUUCUUAGAUUUAUUAAAGACGAACUAAUGCGAAAGCAUUUGCCAAGGAUGUUUUCAUUAAUCAAGAACGAAAGUUAGGGGAUCAAAGACGAUUAGAUACCGUCGUAGUCCUAACCAUAAACUAUUCCGACUAGGGAUUGGUGAGGUAAUUCCUCAUCAGCACCUAAUGAGAAAUCAAAGUCUUUGGGGUUUGGGGGGAGUAUGGUCGCAAGGCUGAAACUUAAAGGAAUUGACGGAAGGGCACCACCAGGAUUGGAUUCUGCGGCUUAAUUUGAUUCAACACGGGAAAACUUACCAGGGCAAAAAACUGAAAGGAUUGACAGCUUGAUAGCACUUUCUUGAUCCGGUAGCAAGUGGUGCAUGGCCGUUCUUAGUUGGUGGAGUGAUUUGUCAGCUUAAUUGCCUUAACGAACGAGACCUUAACCUGCUAAAUAGGAGUAGCUAACAUCUAGCUAUAUCCUUCUUAGAGGGACUACGUCUGUAAAGGCGUGGAAGUUUGAGGCAAUAACAGGUCCGUGAUGCCCA